RNAcentral lists this non-coding RNA (130 nucleotides) under Corynebacterium aquilae. RNAcentral's name for it is "SAM-IV sequence". It matches the Rfam family "SAM (S-adenosyl methionine) riboswitch aptamer". Rfam says of the family: SAM-IV is a mRNA element that regulates gene expression via direct sensing of S-adenosylmethionine (SAM or AdoMet). RNAcentral also lists the same sequence under 1 other name. Lineage: Bacteria; Bacillati; Actinomycetota; Actinomycetes; Mycobacteriales; Corynebacteriaceae. The record is from RNAcentral.
GAUCAAGAAGUUCGGCCCUUUCUUAAGCCUCUCGGCUGGCCGACUGGCAACCGCAAGCGUUUUUCGCGGUGCCCCCGAGAGAAGAUCCGUCGCCGCGUCAGGCGUACCCGCCCCGGCGAAAGUAACGCAC